RNAcentral lists this unclassified non-coding RNA (733 nucleotides) under uncultured Prochlorococcus sp. Its description in RNAcentral is "partial 16S-23S ribosomal RNA intergenic spacer; may also contain 16S ribosomal RNA and 23S ribosomal RNA". The stretch from base 344 to 416 matches the Rfam family "tRNA". Lineage: Bacteria; Bacillati; Cyanobacteriota; Cyanophyceae; Synechococcales; Prochlorococcaceae. The record is from RNAcentral.
UUGUGGAGAAGGACGCCGAAGGUGGGGCUGAUGACUGGGGUGAAGUCGUAACAAGGUAGCCGUACCGGAAGGUGCGGCUGGAUCACCUCCUAACAGGGAGACAAUAAAUUGAUUGUGAUGUCUAAGUUUUUUAUUCUUAGGCCGCAAUCCUGUCACCUUAAGGUCGAUCGGUACCUCAGAUUUUAGAAUUAAUUUUAUAAUUUAUUCUUUUAUUUCAGUUCCUAGACUUGUCUAGGUCACACCCAACAAAGGUUUCUCCUGGGCCAUUAGCUCAGGUGGUUAGAGCGCACCCCUGAUAAGGGUGAGGUCCCUGGUUCAAGUCCAGGAUGGCCCAUUCGUUGUUGGGGGUAUAGCUCAGUUGGUAGAGCGCCUGCUUUGCAAGCAGGAUGUCAGCGGUUCGAGUCCGCUUACCUCCACUGAAAACUAUCCUGAUAACUAAAUUUGGAGAAAAAAUUUGUAGAUGUGGCUUAGAAUUGUCUAUUGAAAAGAACCUAGCUUCUUAUCAUCUUAUAUAGUUGAUAACAUGCUGGGCUCCCAUGGAUUAAUUUCAUGAGAAAUCAGUAGAACCUUGAAAACUGCAUAGAUUAGAAAGAAUAAAGCAUCUCAUGGAUGCAUAAUUCUGUUUUGAUAAUUUAGCCUUAAAACUAAUUUAUUAUUAUAAGAAUUCAUGUUUAAUUCUUGAGUAAAAGCCGAGCACAAUUGAUUUUUUGAUUGUAUUAAGGUCAAGCUACAA